Saccostrea cuccullata (small rock oyster) is the source of this 786-nucleotide long non-coding RNA. RefSeq lists it as uncharacterized. The transcript has 4 exons. Lineage: Eukaryota; Metazoa; Mollusca; Bivalvia; Ostreida; Ostreidae. The record is from RefSeq and is a predicted model, not a curated record.
CUUGAUUAAUUAAAUUUAGCAACAAAUAAUUUGAAUUGUAAAACAUCUUUUUUAUACUGUCUUUCUGUUGUAGCUGGAAGUAUAACCAUCAAGUUUGAGGUCUUCUCUCGAGCUCUGGACUCGGAGCCCACCAUGGGAGAAAUCAUCUUCCAGCUGAGGGAAGCCAUCAGAUCAGGGUCACUGGUCGUGACCUCUACUACUGGGCAGCGAUUGGUUGUGGACACCAACUCAUUUGCAUGGUCAACAUCAGAACUCAGAACUGAAAUUGACAGUGGAGCUAAUUACACCAUGUUCAUCGUGUCUGGAGCAGUAGGAGCUUUUGUUCUGAUCAUCAUUAUGACUGGGAUUGUAUCUAUCUGAUCAAAACCAAGGCUAACAAAUCCCAACAGGUCACCCAGUCUCCUACGCCAUACGGACCCAACAUGCAAGGUGUGGAUGUUCCCCGGCCCAUGGUGGGAAAAACCAACAGUACGUCUGGUAACUGGGUGGAGACUGAGGCUAACACAGUGGACAGUGUCUCUGAUGCUGACACCUACAGAAGUUACUCAGCUAAACCUUUGUCACGUCUCCCUCCCAUUCAGUAAGCUGAAGAAGAAAGGAGGGAUCAAUUCUGUUCAAUUGCUCGGAUGGAUCUCUUAGGACUUUUGUUUUAUAAUUCAGUGAUGUACAUAUAUGUAUAUCUGAUAAAAAUAAUUAUGUCUUAGAAAUGUAUAUCUUUGAUUUUACACAAUAAGAAUAUUCUGUUUUAUUUAGGAAAAUGAUAUUAUACUAAAACUUAACUUUAAA